RNAcentral lists this ribosomal RNA (332 nucleotides) under uncultured eukaryote. Its description in RNAcentral is "partial 18S ribosomal RNA". It matches the Rfam family "Eukaryotic small subunit ribosomal RNA", at positions 1470 to 1796 of the family's 1831-position model. The record is from RNAcentral.
CCCUUAGAUGUUCUGGGCUGCACCCGUGCUACACUGGCAGGUUCAGCGAGCUUCAUGCCCUGAUCUGAAAGGAAUGGGAAAUCUUUUCAAAACCUGUCGUGCUUGGGAUAGAUGUUUGCAAUUAUUCAUCUUCAACGAGGAUUGCCUUGUAAGCGCACGUCAUCAGCGUGCAUUGAAUACGACCCUGUAUUCUGUACACACCGCCCGUCGCUCCUACCGAUUGAAGUUUUCGGUGAGUUGACAGGAGGAUUUUUUUGAAACUGGUUCGCCAGUGGAUUUUAGAUCCAAAUGCCAACGAAUCGAUGGCUUUAGAGGAAGGAGAAGUCGUAACA